This 38-nucleotide transfer RNA is filed under the name Moniliophthora perniciosa FA553. RNAcentral describes it as "tRNA-Ser". The record is from RNAcentral. Lineage: Eukaryota; Fungi; Basidiomycota; Agaricomycetes; Agaricales; Marasmiaceae.
AUUCUAAUCUGUCGCCGUAACCACUUGGCUAUAGCGCC